This is a long non-coding RNA of Anolis carolinensis (green anole), 419 nucleotides long. RefSeq lists it as uncharacterized. Lineage: Eukaryota; Metazoa; Chordata; Lepidosauria; Squamata; Anolidae. The record is from RefSeq and is a predicted model, not a curated record. The transcript has 2 exons.
AAUUUAGCCCUGUUGUAUAAAUUGCAAUGAUGUAUUAACCCAGCUGUCCAUUUGGUGUCAGAAGGUCUGCCUGCUGUGGUUGGAAAACAAAUGAGUCACAGAGCACCAAGGCAACGGAAAGUGACCACAUCACUUUCACAUCAAAAGAGGGGGGGGGGGAAGGGCAGAGGAAUAACAGUCCCAACAUCCACCCACCAGAUCCUCCAGCAUCAGUAAAGGUGCUUCCAGUGUUUUCCUGCUUUGGAGAUCUAAUUUUAACAAGAAACACACCGAAAACACCAACCAGUGGCAGCUGCAGAAAUUAUGCAUUUAUUUACAUAUGUUUAUCCCUUGCUCGGGUGCCAACAGGUUCCCGGAAUGGCUAAUGAUGAACUCGGGCAAGGAAAAUAACAAGCCACAAUUACAUGGAAACAGCAAAA